UACGAAGGGGGCUAGCGUUGUUCGGAUUUACUGGGCGUAAAGCGCACGUAGGCGGAUAUUUAAGUCAGGGGUGAAAUCCCGGGGCUCAACCCCGGAACUGCCUUUGAUACUGGGGAUCUUGAGUCCGGAAGGGGUGAGUGGAACUCCGAGUGUAGAGGUGAAAUUCGUAGAUAUUCGGAAGAACACCAGUGGCGAAGGCGGCUCACUGGUCCGGUACUGACGCUGAGGUGCGAAAGCGUGGGGAGCAAACAGG
This 253-nucleotide ribosomal RNA is filed under the name uncultured bacterium. RNAcentral describes it as "partial 16S ribosomal RNA". It matches the Rfam family "Bacterial small subunit ribosomal RNA", at positions 524 to 776 of the family's 1533-position model. The record is from RNAcentral.